This 274-nucleotide ribosomal RNA is filed under the name uncultured prokaryote. RNAcentral describes it as "partial 16S ribosomal RNA". It matches the Rfam family "Bacterial small subunit ribosomal RNA", at positions 524 to 798 of the family's 1533-position model. The record is from RNAcentral.
CACGGGGUUGCGAGCGUUGUCCGGAAUUACUAGGCAUAAAGGGCAGGCAGGCGGAUCCAUAAGUUUAUCGUUUAAGGCGUCGGCUUAACCGGCGUAGGGCGGUAGAUACUGUGGAUCUGGAAUGCGGUUGGGGAAGACAGAAUUCCUGGUGUAGCGGUGGAAUGCGCAGAGAUCAGGAGGAAUACCGAAGGCGAAGGCAGUCUUCCAAGCCGUUAUUGACGCUCAACUGCGAAGGUGUGGGUAUCAAACAGGAUUAGAUACCCUGGUAGUCCCU